UCCGGUUUGACACCGGCAGUCUCCCAUGAGUCCCCGACAUCACUCGCUGGCAACAUAGGAUAAGGGUUGCGCUCGUUGCGGGACUUAACCCAACACCUCACGGCACGAGCUGACGACAACCAUGCACCACCUGUGUACGACGCCGAAGCACACCGUGUUUCCACGGCUUUUCCGUACAUUUCAAGCCCUGGUAAGGUUCUUCGCGUUGCUUCGAAUUAAGCCACAUGCUCCGCCGCUUGUGCGGGUCCCCGUCAAUUCCUUUGAGUUUUAGCCUUGCGGCCGUACUCCCCAGGCGGGGUGCUUAAUGCGUUAGCUUCGGCACAGAAAGGGUUGAUACUCCCCACGCCUAGCACCCAUCGUUUACGGCUGGGACUAC
Molecule: unclassified non-coding RNA, 376 nt
Filed under: uncultured Euzebyaceae bacterium
Lineage: Bacteria; Bacillati; Actinomycetota; Nitriliruptoria; Euzebyales; Euzebyaceae
Description: contains 16S-23S intergenic spacer region
Source: RNAcentral